This 468-nucleotide ribosomal RNA is filed under the name uncultured bacterium. Its description in RNAcentral is "partial 16S ribosomal RNA". It matches the Rfam family "Bacterial small subunit ribosomal RNA", at positions 28 to 507 of the family's 1533-position model. The record is from RNAcentral.
GACGAACGCUGGCGGCGUGCUUAACACAUGCAAGUCGAACGGUGAUGCUCCAGCUUGCUGGAGUGGAUCAGUGGCGAACGGGUGAGUAACACGUGAGCAACCUGCCCCAGACUCUGGAAUAAGCGCUGGAAACGGCGUCUAAUACUGGAUACGAAACUGGCCCGCAUGGGCAUGGUUUGGAAAGUUUUUCGGUUUGGGAUGGGCUCGCGGCCUAUCAGCUUGUUGGUGAGGUAAUGGCUCACCAAGGCGACGACGGGUAGCCGGCCUGAGAGGGCGACCGGCCACACUGGGACUGAGUCACGGCCCAGACUCCUACGGGAGGCAGCAGUGGGGAAUAUUGCACAAUGGGCGAAAGCCUGAUGCAGCGACGCCGCGUGAGGGAUGACGGCCUUCGGGUUGUAAACCUCUUUCAGCAGGGAAGAAGCGAAAGUGACGGUACCUGCAGAAGAAGCACCGGCUAACUACGUG